Molecule: ribosomal RNA, 369 nt
Filed under: uncultured Glomus
Lineage: Eukaryota; Fungi; Glomeromycota; Glomeromycetes; Glomerales; Glomeraceae
Description: SSU rRNA
Rfam family: Eukaryotic small subunit ribosomal RNA
Source: RNAcentral
AGCAGCCGCGGUAAUUCCAGCUCCAAUAGCGUAUAUUAAAGUUGUUGCAGUUAAAAAGCUCGUAGUUGAAUUUCGGGACUAACAGAUUGGUCGCGCCUUUGGUGUGUACUGGUCUAGUUGGUUUCUCCCUUCUGACGAACCACGAUGUCAUUAAUUUGGUGUCGUGGGAAAUCAGGACUGUUACUUUGAAAAAAUUAGAGUGUUUAAAGCAAGCGCUAGCUUGAAUACAUUAGCAUGGAAUAAUGAAAUAGGACGUUCGAUCCUAUUUUGUUGGUUUCUAGGAUUGACGUAAUGAUUAAUAGGGAUAGUUGGGGGCAUUAGUAUUCAAUUGUCAGAGGUGAAAUUCUUGGAUUUAUUGAAGACUAACUA